AAAAACAUUUCUAUUAGCAAUUAUUAAUAGUAAAAUCUGCUCAAUGAUAUUUCAAUAGCCGCAAUUAAGUGCUAAGGUAGCAUAAUCAUUUGUCUUUUAAAUAAAGACUAGAACAAAAGAUUUAACAUCUUAAUCAUUUUAUUUAAUAUAAUACUUAAAUUUAUUUUAAAAGUAAAAAAACUUUUAUUUCACAGAAAGACGACAAGACCCUAUUGAACUUUACUUAAGUUAAACUGGGGCAGUAAAUCAUUUAACAUUUUAAUUAAACUACUUUAUAAAAUAGCCAUAUAAUUGAUAACUCAGUUACCAUAGGGAUAACAGCGUAAUUAUAUUUAAAAGACCUUAUAUCAAAAAUAGAUUGCGACCUCGAUGUUGAAUUAAUAACCUAAUUAAAGCAAAGUUUAAGUCUAGGAAGUCUGUUCGACUUUUAAACAAUUACAUGAUUUGAGUUCAGACCGGUAUAAGCCAGGUCGGUUUCCAUCUUCUAUAAAACUUUCUUGUAGUACGAAAGGACCUAAGAAAAUAAUAUAAUUAUUAAAUUGGCAGAACAAUGCAUUAGAAUUAGAAUCUAAUUAACUAUAAAUUUUUUUUAUUAUAAAUUAUCUACUAAUUACAAUUAGAAUUCUAAUCAGAGUCGCCUUUUAUACUAUCUUAGAACGUAAAAUUCUAGGAUAUAUACAAAUCCGAAAAGGACCAAAUAAAGUAGGUUUAAUAGGGAUCCUUCA
This 725-nucleotide ribosomal RNA is filed under the name Admestina sp. Its description in RNAcentral is "partial 16S ribosomal RNA". The stretch from base 1 to 505 matches the Rfam family "Bacterial large subunit ribosomal RNA", at positions 1809 to 2925 of the family's 2925-position model. The record is from RNAcentral. Lineage: Eukaryota; Metazoa; Arthropoda; Arachnida; Araneae; Salticidae.